This 468-nucleotide ribosomal RNA is filed under the name uncultured bacterium. RNAcentral's name for it is "partial 16S ribosomal RNA". It matches the Rfam family "Bacterial small subunit ribosomal RNA", at positions 28 to 507 of the family's 1533-position model. The record is from RNAcentral.
GACGAACGCUGGCGGCGUGCUUAACACAUGCAAGUCGAACGGAAAGGCCCUGCUCUUGUGGGGUGCUCGAGUGGCGAACGGGUGAGUAACACGUGAGUAACCUGCCCUUGACUUUGGGAUAACUUCAGGAAACUGGGGCUAAUACCGGAUAGGAGCUCCUGCUGCAUGGUGGGGGUUGGAAAGUUUCGGCGGUGGGGGAUGGACUCGCGGCUUAUCAGCUUGUUGGUGGGGUAGUGGCGUACCAAGGCUUUGACGGGUAGCCGGCCUGGGAGGGUGACCGGCGACAUUGGGCCUGAGAUACGGCCCAGAAGGCUACGGGAGGCAGCAGUGGGGAAUAUUGCACAAUGGGCGGAAGUCUGAUGCAGCAACGCCGCGUGCGGGAUGACGGCCUUCGGGUUGUAAACCGAUUUCGCAUGUGACGAAGCGUGAGUGACGGUAAUGGGUAAAGAAGCACCGGCUAACUACGUG